Molecule: long non-coding RNA, 1702 nt
Organism: Ziziphus jujuba (common jujube)
Lineage: Eukaryota; Viridiplantae; Streptophyta; Magnoliopsida; Rosales; Rhamnaceae
Exons: 5
Source: RefSeq, a predicted model, not a curated record
CAGAAACUUUCGCCUGCAGACAAUGCCCUCGAUUUUCAUUCCCACAUGCUCUAUGUGCUUUCCCAAGAAACAAACAGCAAUGUUUCAGCAACCACAUCAUGAACAUGGUAGGUGAUAAUGCAUGAUUUUUGGGCCCCCUCCGUGCAACAUGGCUAUGAUUGGGAAAAUGAAGAAAGAUCUGACUCCUUAUACGUUUGUGACACUCCAGAAGCUAAGUUUAUUUAACCUUAACUCGCAUGUCAGAAAAAAUUUAUUUUGAUAUAUAAUGCAUUGGGGAGCAGAACAGAUAGAAAGACUAUGGUUUCAAAAUAAAGUAAUUUUUUGAUAAUUUUCUCUCUUCUUAGAUCACAGCUAUUUUAGAACAUGGCAAUCACGGUUGGCAUCCAUUGUCAGUGAUAAGACAAUGAAGUAUAGUAAUUCAGAAGUUUGGCUUUUAUAUGAGAUAUGGUUGACUCUUUGUCCUCCGCAUUCUUUGUCAUGGAAAUAUGGAAGAUUUGAUAUCAUCUAGCCAAUUUUUGGAUAAAAAUUAGGUUCAUAGCUUUAUUGUUUUGUUUUGAAUAUAUACAGCCAUACAGCUUUUGCAGUCACGAAAAUAAGAAGUCCAUUCAGAUGUGAGACGUACUCUGGUCUUCAAUUGAGUUUUAGGUGAUCUUAUUCUCUGUCAUGGUGAUCUCAAUCAGCUCUCCCCUGUUACUUAGAAAAGGACUAAUGCUACUGUAUGGGAACAAGCUCUAUAUUAAGAAGUCUCCCACCUUUUAAUUGUAUAGUGUGAAGAUUUCAAGUCAUUAGAUAUCAGUGACGUAGAAAGUUAUGUUUUAAGGGUCACCUAAAAUGGUAUCUCCUAGAGCAAAGGCUUUGCUGGAAAUCCGUUAAACAUAAGCAGCUGAUGGGACAGAUAAGGGAAAAGUGACGUGACUUAGGGGAUAUCUUUUAUCUGACCUCCUUGUGCUGAAAUGAAGACUGGUAUGCUUUAGGGGAAUGUAAUCUCAGAUAUGACCAACGUUUUUGCUGAGAUAAUCACUUGUUUAGUACUAAUCUUUUUGAAGCAGAAAGGCACAACAGAAUUAUCUAGGUUCCUUAUUUUGCCUGUGGAAAGAUUUGCAUGGACAGAGGUUUGUGAAGAUAAUCUGGUGAUCAAGACUAAAUCAUUUUUUAAAAAGGGGGACAAGGUGAAGCACAUAAGUUUUUGUGCUGAAAAGCUUUAAGGGCCUUAAAGCAUUGGUUGUCAGGAAUGUGUUACCUUUUAAGAGUUUGACACCGAGGUAAUAUGCCGUACUGACUUCCAUAUUUUCGCACACCUAAACGAUGUACUUGGCCAUGCAAAAGCCGACAGAUCAUACCUCUCACAGUCACAUAUGAGGAAGAACCUAUUUUUUUAUUUUUUUUUUUUGGCUGGUUGGCAUUAUUUUCAAUGUGAUAAUAUGGCAUCUGUAUUUCCAGAAGAUGUUCAGAGAGACUCAUCCAAAAGAAUGGAAGUCCACAUAAUGAUAAUAGUUCUGCCUAGAGGACAGAUAGGAGCUGGUAUGUGGAAAUUGGUUUGGGGCUUCUUUUUUUUUCCCUCUUGUUUAAUGGAAAUUACUUAUUGCAUAAAGAAUAUAUUUGUUUUUGAUUUUCCAAAUAUAUAUGUGUAUAUAUAUUUUACGAUAGCUAAAGGGCAUCGUAUAAUGGGAUUAGUAAGAUCUACAGAGAACAAAUAAUGCUU